This 619-nucleotide long non-coding RNA is filed under the name Pan troglodytes (chimpanzee). Its description in RNAcentral is "long non-coding RNA NONPTRT001990". The record is from RNAcentral. Lineage: Eukaryota; Metazoa; Chordata; Mammalia; Primates; Hominidae.
UGGGCACUCAUGGUCCCCUGACACUGUUGAACCAGAGAGGCGACCUAUGGAGCAUGGCUUGGGUGAGGGGAGCUGGGUGACAGAGGGGACCAUGCCAGAGAGGAGAUCUAUGGAGCGUGGCUUGGGUGAAGGGAGCUGGGUGACAGAGGGGACCAUGCCAGAGAGGAGACCUAUGGAGGGUGGCUUGGGCAAGGGGAGCUGGGUGACAGAGGGGACCAUGCCAGAGAGGAGACCUAUGGAGGGUGGCUUGGGUGAGGGGAGCUGGGUGACAGAGGGGACCAUGCCAGAGAGGAGACCUAUGGAGGGUGGCUUGGGUGAGGGGAGCUGGGUGACAGAGGGGACCAUGCCAGAGAGGAGACCUAUGGAGGGUGGCUUGGGUGAGGGGAGCUGGGUGACAGAGGGGACCAUGCCAGAGAGGAGACCUAUGGAGCGUGGCUUGGGUGAGGGAAGCUGGGUGACAGAGGGGACCAUGCCAGAGAGGAGACCUAUGGAGGGUGGCUUGGGUGAGGGGAGCUGGGUGACAGAGGGGACUAUGCCAGAGAGGAGACCUAUGGAGGGUGGCUUGGGCAAGGGGGGCAGGGUGACAGAGGGGAUCAUGUGGCACGGAGGAGGAGCUGGG